GGGCUCUACAAAAGAAGUUGUGGCAAGACUGGACAAACUGAUAACACGUCUAUUACAGAAUCUCCUGGUUCAGCCUUGCUGCUCCAGUCUGUCAAGAGCUUUGUAUAUGCUGACUGUCAUACAGUGUACUAACUCUCCCUCCCAGCUCUGUGUCACCUGCAGAUUUGAUGUCACUGGAAGUGACUCAUCAAUUAUCUGCCAGUCAUUUUAGCACCCAAGGAUGUAGUUAUUAUGGACCAGGUGACUUGAAUUCAUCAUGGACAACUAGGUGGUUUGUUAAGCUCUCCUUACUUGGGUAAGCCAUGGUACUUAGCCUUUCAGCCAUUUUUGUUCUGCUGUUUACUGAGCAACGGUCAUUCUUCUUGGCGGAGAAAACCAACAGAAGGAAAAGAAGAAUCAAGCUGAUCAUUUUUCUCUAUUGUCAGUUCCAAGCAAAGGUACUAUAUCUUCUUUUGUAAGGGUGGAAUUGAAACCACUUCAUCCCAACUUAGCCUUAAUGAGAACCCAUAUCAAUCCAUCAUUCACAGGCUUCAGACUAAGUGUAAAAAAUCUUUGAAAGCCAUUUGAUGAAAUAAAAUGACUCCAGAGGGAAGUUUGUUCCAAUUGGC
Long non-coding RNA from Dromiciops gliroides (monito del monte), 608 nucleotides. RefSeq lists it as uncharacterized. The transcript is spliced from 3 exons. Lineage: Eukaryota; Metazoa; Chordata; Mammalia; Microbiotheria; Microbiotheriidae. The record is from RefSeq and is a predicted model, not a curated record.